ACUACGGGUGGCAGCAGUCGAGAAUCAUUCACAAUGGGGGAAACCCUGAUGGUGCGACGCCGCGUGGGGGAAUGAAGGUCUUCGGAUUGUAAACCCCUGUCAUGUGGGAGCAAAUUAAAAAGAUAGUACCACAAGAGGAAGAGACGGAUAACUCUGUGACAGCAGCCGCGGUAAUACAGAGGUCUCAAUCGUUGUUCGGAAUCACUGGGCGUAAAGCGUGCGGAGGCUGUUUCGUAAGUCGUGUGUGAAAGGCGCGGGCUCAACGCGCGGACGGCACAUGAUACUGCGAGACUAGAGGGAUGGAGAGGGAACCGGAAUGCUCGGUGUAGCAGGGAAAUGCGUAGAUAUC
Molecule: ribosomal RNA, 349 nt
Filed under: uncultured bacterium
Lineage: Bacteria
Description: partial 16S ribosomal RNA
Rfam family: Bacterial small subunit ribosomal RNA
Source: RNAcentral